Molecule: RNA transcript, 4004 nt
Organism: Mus musculus (house mouse)
Lineage: Eukaryota; Metazoa; Chordata; Mammalia; Rodentia; Muridae
Gene: Kctd3
Gene name: potassium channel tetramerisation domain containing 3
Exons: 18
Source: RefSeq, marked validated
UCGUAAGCGUGAAGCGCCGGCGCUACAGCUUUUUGUCCCUCGCGGCGACCCGUCCUCCAGAUGGUUGUGGCGGCCGCCAUGGAGGCGAGUGGGCUCUGAGGAGAGGCCGGGCUGGGCCGGCGGCCUCCAGCCACGAGCGGCGGAGGCCACGAACACGUAGUGGGGGAGGCUGGAGCGAGCCGGGCCGCUGCGGGAGGCUCGGCGUUCCGAGUGUGCUCCGGCCGCCGAGCCGCCGCUCCUGGCUCCGGCUCCGGCUCCGGCCCUGGCUCCGGCUCCCGCCGCAGACAUGGCGGGCGGGCAUUGCGGCAGCUUCGCCGCGUCGGCGGCCAGCAGCGGGGAGAUCGUGCAGCUGAAUGUGGGGGGGACCAGAUUCAGUACCUCUAGACAGACGCUCAUGUGGAUUCCAGAUUCUUUUUUCUCCAGUUUGCUGAGUGGAAGAAUUUCAACACUUCGAGAUGAAACUGGUGCUAUAUUUAUUGAUAGGGACCCGGCAGCAUUCGCCCCCAUUUUAAAUUUUCUUCGGACAAAAGAACUCGACUUAAGGGGAGUCAGCAUUAAUGUUCUCAGGCACGAGGCAGAAUUUUAUGGGAUCACUCCACUAGUGCGGAGGCUGCUGCUGUGUGAGGAGCUGGAGAGGUCAUCCUGCGGCAGCGUCCUGUUCCACGGCUACUUGCCCCCGCCAGGCAUUCCCAGUCGUAAAGUAACUAACACAGCUAGGUCCUCUGUGGAUGCUAGGAAUGGACUGAACUCUAUGGAAGGAGAAGCCCGGGGAAACGGGACACAGCCUGUGCUUGCAGGAAAUGGAGAAGACACUAUUCGGCUGGGAGUUCCAGUGGAUCCAAGAAAGGUGCUAAUAGUUGCUGGCCACCACAAUUGGAUUGUAGCUGCCUAUGCGCAUUUCGCUGUGUGUUACAGAAUCAAAGAGUCCUCAGGGUGGCAGCAGGUGUUUACAAGCCCUUACCUGGACUGGACCAUCGAACGGGUGGCUUUAAAUGCAAAGGUGGUUGGAGGUCCUCAUGGAGACAAGGACAAAAUGGUGGCUGUCGCCUCAGAGAGCAGCAUCAUCUUGUGGAGUGUUCAGGAUGGAGGAAGUGGAAGUGAAAUUGGUGUGUUCAGCCUCGGCGUUCCUGUAGAUGCUCUCUUCUUCAUUGGAAACCAGCUGGUGGCCACGAGUCACACGGGGAAGGUGGGCGUGUGGAACGCUGUCACGCAGCACUGGCAGGUGCAGGACGUUGUCCCAAUAACCAGCUACGACACUGCAGGCUCCUUCCUCCUCCUGGGAUGCAACAACGGAUCAAUAUAUUACAUAGACAUGCAGAAGUUCCCGUUGCGGAUGAAGGACAACGACCUUCUCGUCACUGAGCUCUAUCACGACCCCUCCAAUGACGCCGUCACCGCGCUGAGCGUUUACCUCACUCCCAAGACAAGUGUCAGCGGAAACUGGAUUGAGAUCGCCUAUGGUACGAGCUCUGGAGCCGUGCGAGUGAUUGUGCAGCAUCCGGAGACUGUCGGCUCAGGGCCUCAGCUCUUCCAGACAUUCACCGUUCACCGGAGCCCCGUGACCAAGAUCAUGCUGUCAGAGAAGCACCUGGUGUCAGUGUGUGCUGACAACAACCACGUCCGCACCUGGACAGUGACACGAUUCAGAGGGAUGAUCUCUACGCAGCCAGGCUCCACUCCUUUAGCAUCCUUCAAGAUCCUGUCCUUGGAGGAGACAGAGAGCCAUGGCAGCUAUUCCUCUGGAAAUGACAUCGGGCCUUUUGGGGAACGAGAUGAUCAACAAGUAUUUAUCCAGAAAGUUGUUCCCAUCACCAACAAACUGUUUGUCAGGCUGUCGUCGACAGGAAAAAGGUGACACUUCACAGAAGACAAGUAUAUUCAGAAAUGGCCUUUGUCUCCUAGAAUGCAGGUGCAGUUUGUUAGCGGUGGAAGGCACCAGACACAUUACAGCAGGCUUCCCUAUGCUGGUUACCUGUAGAGAGGGAGACUCAGCAGUGACUGCCACUUAAUGAGCCAUAAUGACCCUGGAUGGGACAGACUGAGAGCACCAUAGAGAAACAAAGCUGUCACACACAAGCGUGUCUCCAUUAGAAUAUGUGAGAUCCAGGCUGUAGACUGCACUACAAUCUCCUCCUUCACCGUGAGGGAGUGUGAGGGCUCCAGCAGGAUGGGCUCCCGGCCAAGGCGAUACCUGUUCACUGGCCACACCAACGGCAGCAUCCAGAUGUGGGACCUGACCACAGCCAUGGAUAUGGUCAACAAGACUGAGGACAAGGAUGCAGGCGGGCCCACUGAGGAGGAGCUGCUCAAGCUGCUGGACCAGUGUGAUCUGAGCACGUCCCGCUGUGCCACUCCCAACAUCAGCCCCGCCACCUCCGUGCUGCAGCACAGCCGCCUUCGAGAGUCCAGCUCCAGCCUUCAGCUCCAGCACCACGAAACCAUCCACGAAGCGGCAACCUAUGGUGCCACGCGGCCUUACCGAGAGAGCCCUUUGUUAGCCAGAGCACGGAGGACUGAGAGUUUCCACAGCUACAGGGACUUCCAGACUCUUAAUCUCAACAGAAGCAUAGAGAGACCUGUCCCUGAGAAUGGUCACAUGGGCCCAGCCCAGACUGAGGUGAAAGGGGCAGCAGGGGAGUGCGCUAUGUCUGAGAGGAGGUCCCCUGGCACAGAGGUAAGAUGUGGGCGAGAGUCAGAUGGGGGACUGGAGGUGCAUAGAACAGCAGAGGGUUUGUCAGAGCCCAAGAAAAGGUCAGCAGAGGAUGAAAAUGAGCAUAAAGUGGAGUUCCGAAAGAAAGGGUUUGAAGCAGGAGGAUUUCUUGGAAGAAAGAAAGUUCCCUAUCUGGCAUCCUCACCAAGUACCUCUGAUGGAGGGACCGACUCCCCUGGUACAGCAUCCCCGUCUCCAACCAAGACCACUCCGUCACCUCGGCACAAAAAGAGCGAUUCCUCUGGCCAAGAGUACAGCUUGUGAACUCACCCAAGUGCAUGAGAGUUUUUCUAAAUCUACAUGAAAAACAAAUUUUCCUGGGUUUCAGUACAUUGGCUUUUACAUCAAAAACUAACAGGGCACAGUUUGACCUGUUUAGUGUAUUCUGGGCCGAGUCUCUGAAGCAGGAGCAGAGCACACUCCCGGGAUUCAGGGACAUGGUCCUCACAGCUCGGAAGUAGCUCUAGUCCUGCGAGCAGGCACUUGGAACAGCAGUCUGUAAGCAGGAGUCAUUGCCAUGUUGCCCUCCCUGCUGGUGUUACUGUGUUCCCUUAGAGCAUGUGGGCCAGUGGGCCACAUUCAUAAUGCAGUUGCCCAAGGCCUGUCUUGCAGUGGUACCUUAAAGUUAACCUCAUAAUCUUGGAACUUGGGCUCCAACCCUUAUGAUUGUGGAGUGUUUACUAGAUACAUAAUGAGGUGCUAAGUUGUGGGGAAGUCUCAUGUAACUCAGAACACUAUCCUGGUCCCAGGCUACACUGUGCACUACGUCUUUAGGGUUGUUUAUUUCACUGCGGGUCAUUUUCUGAUUCUUGUUGUUGGGAGUCAAUAUAGCAUGCGUCACCAGUGUUUGGUACCCAAGUCGUUCCAGUGGGAACAAUGUCUGUUUGAGUAAACUAAGACUGACAGGGGAAUCGGGGUGCUCACAAGCGAGUCCCUCCAGCUGCUUUAGGAGCCGCUGUGUUCCUGCUGUGUCUUACAGGACUGGAGUGCUGGAUUCGGAGUUAAACGCAUCAAUAUGUAAAAUUGUUGUUUUGGCUUUAUUUUGAACUCUGGGAGCAAAAGAAAAAUUUUUGUACAUUUUCUUCAUUUAAUCAGAAUGGUUUACAUAUUUCUGCAAAUGGAGAAAAUGUAAAUAUAAACCCAUGACCAUUUACUAAGUGAAUGAUGUAUAUUUCCCAUUAUCAGAAGUAUAAUGAAGUUGGAAUAAAUUCUUUAAAGUUUACUAUGUUGCCAGUGGUUUCACACAAAUUCCCUUGUAUUUAUUUGUUGAUUAAAUCAAGUGAGAAAGGUUAAA